Molecule: long non-coding RNA, 2750 nt
Filed under: Salmo salar (Atlantic salmon)
Lineage: Eukaryota; Metazoa; Chordata; Actinopteri; Salmoniformes; Salmonidae
Description: lncRNA (ENSSSAG00000091352.1)
Source: RNAcentral
AGAGGGAACGCUAGGCUACGCUACCACCAGAUCACCAAAGAGGGAACGCUAGGCUACGCUACCACCAGACCACCAAAGAGGGAACGCUAGGCUACGCUACCACCAGAUCACCAAAGAGGGAACGCUAGGCUACGCUACCACCAGAUCACCAAAGAGGGAACGCUAGGCUACGCUACCACCAGAUCACCAAAGAGGGAAAGCUAGGCUACGCUACCACCAGAUCACCAAAGAGGGAACGCUAGGCUAGGCUACCACCAGAUCACCAAAGAGGGAACGCUAGGCUAGGCUACCACCAGAUCACCAAAGAGGGAACACUAGGCUAGGCUACCACCAGACCACCAAAGAGGGAACGCUAGGCUACGCUACCACCAGCUCAUCAAAGAGGGAACACCACAGAGGGAACGCUAGGCUACGCUACCACCAGAUCAGAGGGAACACUAGGCUAGGCUACCACCAGCUCAUCAAAGAGGGAACGCUAGGCUAGGCUACCACCAGUCCACUCCUUGAUAAUCUUAUACCCAUAAUGACCAGAGAUGAAAUGUCCAUUGAGACUGAGGGGGCAACGAGACACUGCUUUAGUGGGGGUAAGGUCACACAGUUUGUAUCUCAAAUGGCAGCCUAUUCCCUACAUUUGGGGUUCUUAAACUUUUUCAGCCUGAGACCCAAAUGAGAAACUGACCAUCCUCCCAUGACCAAAAUAAGAAAAAAAUACUGUGUGAUAAUCUACCACUUUGGGAGUCGGCAUUAUUUAUAUUAGUCUCCAUAAGGAAUAGAAACGAGUGGCACAUCUAUAACAUAUUUACUACAACAACAUGAAUUCUGUGUUAUGUGGUGAUCUCCCAGAGUCCUGUGUGUUGAUCUCCCAGAGUCCUGUGUGUUGAUCUCCCAGAGUCCUGUGUGUCGAUCUCCCAGAGUCCUGUGUGUCGUUCUCCCAGAGUCCUGUGUGUCGUUCUCCCAGAGUCCUGUGUGUCGAUCUCCCAGAGCCCUGUGUGUCGUUCUCCCAGAGUCCUGUGUGUCGAUCUCCCAGAGUCCUGUGUGUAGUUCUCCCAGAGUCCUGUGUGUUGGCGCUUCCUUCAGACCCACAGAGACGAGAUGACCCCUGACCCUGAGCUACAGAGCCUGCUCACCAUCACCUCUUAUCACAUCACACUGGCCAUGGAACACCUCCGAUCCAAAAUGGAAGCCAGUUUCCUCCUCCUCCCACUCAUUCCUUAUGACACCAACUGCCACCUGCAUUACUGGUCUGGGACCUGACAUUAGACAGACAGUAAAUGAUCUGGGGUCUGUGUUCCAGGUGGUGCACUGUGACCUACGAUCAUUUCUUACAGACAGUAACCCAUACACACAGCUACAGAACAUUUAUUAGUCCUGAUCUCUGACCUGUACUUACAGGUGGUGGGUGCACUGUGACCUGGCCGGUCAGAAAACCAACUAUUACAGCUUCAAGGGGGACGUGUGGGCAUUUGGCAUCGUGCUGUGGGAGAUGCAGACAUUUGGUGAGUUUUGGAAAACAAAAUGUCUGCCAUCAUCAUUUACAAGGCUGUAUGGGUGGCUGCCUGGUGUCCAUCAUGAUAAAGACAGGUCAAAUCUUGUGUUCGUCUAACCUUUAUUUACCCAGAUAAUUAAUUGAGAACAAAUCCCAAAUUAAAUAUAAUUAUAACAACAUGGACAUAACAAAGUGGAUGUUUGUGGUUCCCAGGCACCUUACCAUACCCUAACCUGGAGACGCCAUCUGUCCCAGCCACAAGAACACAGACCUGUCCCUGAGGGCUACAGGCCAAACAUGUGACCGUGACAUCAUUGAUAGUGUCGUGGUAACAGGGUCCUAUUCAGUAGAACACGAUGUAGCAAAACAAAAACCUGUGUUCUUAUUGGACAGGUUCAGGUAAGACCUCUGUUUCCUGAACAAUAACCCAGACAUGAACAGACCCCUCUAUGGAAUACUGGAUAUAGGUUUAUUUUUUAUUCAUUUUUCUAUUCAAGGGUUUCGUCACAAAUGACACCCUAUUCAUUCAGUGCAUUCCUUCUGACCAGAACCCUAUAUAGGGAAUAGGGUGCCAUUUGGAGAAGUACCAAAUAACAAAAAAUAAAGUUUGAAUUGAACAUCUAAAUGGAGCUGGUCUGUUUAAUACCGUUGUAAACACACUGUACUCACAUCCUGACCCCUCAAUACACACUGUACUCACAUCCUGACCCCUCAAUACACUGUACUCACAUCCUGACCCCUCAAUACACACUGUACUCACAUCCUGACCCCUCAAUACACACUGUACUCACAUCCUGACCCCCUCAACACACUGUACUCACAUCCUGACCCCUCAAUAUACUGUACUCACAUCCUGACCCCCUCAACACACUGUACUCACAUCCUGACCCCUCAAUACACACUGUACUCACAUCCUGACCCCUCAAUACACACUGUACUCACAUCCUGACCCCUCAAUACACACUGUACUCACAUCCUGACCCCUCAAUAUACUGUACUCACAUCCUGACCCCCUCAACACACUGUACUCACAUCCUGACCCCUCAAUAUACUGUACUCACAUCCUGACCCCCUCAACACACACUGUACUCACAUCCUGACCCCCUCAACACACCAGGAACAGUAGACCUCACAUCCUGACCCCUCAAUACACCAGGAACAGUAGACCUCACAUCCUGACCCCUCAAUACACCAGGAACAGUAGACCUCACAUCCUGACCCCUCAAUACACCAGGAACAGUAGACCUCACAUCCUGACCCCCUC